CCGUGAUAACGUAGCAUAAUCAUUCGCCACCUAAUUAGUGGAUAGUAUGAAUGGUAAAACGAGUAUAACACUCUCUCAGAAGGAAGUUUUAUGAAAUUGGAAUGGUAGUCAAGAUACUACCUAAAACUGUAAGACGAAAAGACCCUAUAGAGCUUAACUAUACCUUUCUCACAAAAUUAAGUUCACUUAAGUUCCAGAAAGAUUGGUAGUUUAGUUGGGGCGACUGCUUUCUAGUAAAAACGAAAGCAAGCAAUAUUAAUUAUCUAAUUUACUGUCUAAUCUAUGUAUUUAACAGUUAUAAGAAUAGGCAAUAAUGACCCGUUAGUAAUAAAAAACACUACUAACGAACAAUAAAUAAAAGUUACCUUAGGGAUAACAGGAUAAUCUUGUUCUAGAGACCCUAUCGAAAACAAGGUUUGUCACCUCUAUGUUGAAUUAAGAUAUCCUAGAAGUGUAGAAGCUUCUGAGG
This 469-nucleotide ribosomal RNA is filed under the name Millepora alcicornis. RNAcentral describes it as "partial large subunit ribosomal RNA". It matches the Rfam family "Bacterial large subunit ribosomal RNA", at positions 1946 to 2570 of the family's 2925-position model. Lineage: Eukaryota; Metazoa; Cnidaria; Hydrozoa; Anthoathecata; Milleporidae. The record is from RNAcentral.